RNAcentral lists this ribosomal RNA (502 nucleotides) under Vibrio sp. 1S38. RNAcentral's name for it is "bacterial SSU rRNA". It matches the Rfam family "Bacterial small subunit ribosomal RNA", at positions 380 to 875 of the family's 1533-position model. The record is from RNAcentral. Lineage: Bacteria; Pseudomonadati; Pseudomonadota; Gammaproteobacteria; Vibrionales; Vibrionaceae.
AGCCUGAUGCAGCCAUGCCGCGUGUGUGAAGAAGGCCUUCGGGUUGUAAAGCACUUUCAGUCGUGAGGAAGGUGGUGAGUUAAUAGCUGCAUUAUUUGACGUUAGCGACAGAAGAAGCACCGGCUAACUCCGUGCCAGCAGCCGCGGUAAUACGGAGGGUGCGAGCGUUAAUCGGAAUUACUGGGCGUAAAGCGCAUGCAGGUGGUUUGUUAAGUCAGAUGUGAAAGCCCGGGGCUCAACCUCGGAAUAGCAUUUGAAACUGGCAGACUAGAGUACUGUAGAGGGGGGUAGAAUUUCAGGUGUAGCGGUGAAAUGCGUAGAGAUCUGAAGGAAUACCGGUGGCGAAGGCGGCCCCCUGGACAGAUACUGACACUCAGAUGCGAAAGCGUGGGGAGCAAACAGGAUUAGAUACCCUGGUAGUCCACGCCGUAAACGAUGUCUACUUGGAGGUUGUGGCCUUGAGCCGUGGCUUUCGGAGCUAACGCGUUAAGUAGACCGCCUG